Molecule: transfer RNA, 67 nt
Filed under: Alphaproteobacteria bacterium
Lineage: Bacteria; Pseudomonadati; Pseudomonadota; Alphaproteobacteria
Description: tRNA-Ser
Rfam family: tRNA
About the family: Transfer RNA (tRNA) molecules are approximately 80 nucleotides in length. Their secondary structure includes four short double-helical elements and three loops (D, anti-codon, and T loops). Further hydrogen bonds mediate the characteristic L-shaped molecular structure. tRNAs have two regions of fundamental functional importance: the anti-codon, which is responsible for specific mRNA codon recognition, and the 3' end, to which the tRNAs corresponding amino acid is attached (by aminoacyl-tRNA synthetases). tRNAs cope with the degeneracy of the genetic code in two manners: having more than one tRNA (with a specific anti-codon) for a particular amino acid; and 'wobble' base-pairing, i.e. permitting non-standard base-pairing at the 3rd anti-codon position.
Source: RNAcentral
GGCGCAAAUGCUGGGAACUGCCCUCCGAAGGCAGAGGUCGAAGGUUCGAAUCCUUUCGGGUCCGCCA